Oncorhynchus mykiss (rainbow trout) is the source of this 2450-nucleotide long non-coding RNA. RefSeq lists it as uncharacterized. NCBI's taxonomy places the organism in Eukaryota, Metazoa, Chordata, Actinopteri, Salmoniformes, Salmonidae. The record is from RefSeq and is a predicted model, not a curated record.
GUAGCAAGGGGGGAUUUGGGGAGUCUUAUUUCCUUAUAACUAUGCUCCCAUCCACAGAGCGCCCGCUUCGAUCAAGUUGAUAUACCAAAAUUCAGCCAGGAUAGGGAAGACGAGGCAGACUAACCAACAAUUUGGGCCUCAUAUAUUAUUGCCAGAUGUAAUAAUAAUUCCUGUUGGCUUAUUAAAAAAAAAAAUCAAAAUGAAUAGAUUUAAAUAUCCAGCCAUGUUAACACAUGAUGUCGUGGUUGGAACACAUCAGAGAGAAGACCAUCCCUGCAGGAGUUGGGUGAUAUCCGACUUAAAUUAGUGGAUGCAUUUUUACAGCAACCUUGACAUGACUGGAGAACUCAGUGGACCACAUGCACUUCAGGAGAAAAUCAAGGCAGACUGUUUUUCUCUCUCAAAGACUUUGAAGAACGGAAAUCGCAGUGGAUCACGCCCUCUAGAUUUGUUUUCUACCAAACUUCAGUUCCGGACUCAUCAUAUCUGCAUCUCAACUGGAGCAAAGUUUUCAACGUGUGAUCUAAUUUAUGACCGGGAUUUCUUCAGUCUACAGCCGCUCUCUGUCCAUGAGGGAUGGCGCAUGACAAGGGCUUCUGCAACAAACACAUGGAUUACAUUUACUACACUCUCCUCCAGACCAUCAAUAAGGCAAGACCCGUGGAAAUCCAACAAGGACAAAUAAUACAAAGAUAAAAAUACCUCUCUACCACCCCAAGAUGAAGCCAGACUGAUACUGUGCUGAUGUUCAUUAGCUCACUGUAAAAUAAACUGUGGCGUGCCACAGGCAAGUGUGCUUGGGCUUCUGUUAUUCCUGCUGUACAUUAAAGAUAUCAAGGAUGCUUGCUCAAUGUCACCCGUGUCUUUAUGCAGAUGACUCUACACUCCUGGUGUUUCACAUAAACCAAACCACUCUGGAGAGUAUACUGAGUGCAGAGCUCACUAACAUCAACAAGCUGUCGCCGCACCUCGGCAAAACAGAAGGAAUUCUGUUUGGGUCCAAAAUGAAACUAAGCGAGUCCUCAGACAUCAGGGUACAGCUAGCAGAACAGGUACUCACAGCCAGAACAGCAGUUCAUUACUUAGGAUGUACACUAGAUGGCAACCUGGCAGGGGAGGAGUAUGGCUACUAAGGUACUAGGUAAAGUGCUAGUGUAAAGGACAUCAUGCUGCUUUACACUGCUAGAGUAAGGGACAUCACGCUGCUUGCUUAGUGUCGCGAGUGCCACUUCCUCCUGAUUCGGCUCACACCGAGGCUUGAACCUUACCAGUCGGCGACACGGAAAACCUAGCUAUUCGUUGGUGCAAGUGGGGAAUCUUCAGGCUGAGGAAUAUGUGCUACACCAGGACCAAAUUCUUGGCUAUGUAGUCUAAGCUGUUGGAAAAAGAUUCAAAGAAAGUGCUAGUGUGCUCAUCCAAUGUCCUUUUUGAUGCUAGCACCUCCUGGUUUGAAGGCUUAAUAAUCUACUAAAAAGCAAGCUCAGGAUAGCCCAGAACAAGUUGAAUCUGAGCCCACCUACAGUACUCAUAUUGGUACCAGACAGUUUCAGGAGCUCAACUGGCUGCCCUCUAAGUCAAGGGUCACACAGACCAGGUUCAUAGGAUCAGAGGACUCAGUAAAACACUUGCUGUUAGGAAACUAUCAAAUUAUAGUACUUUUGUUUUUAGGUCUGUGCCGGUCCAGUUUUGUUUUGGUCGGUUUGUUUUUAUUUAUUUAUGAAGCAGCUCCUAGGCAUUUUGUCUCACUUCCUUCCCCAUUUUAGAGACUCAUACAAACACAACAAUAGAGCUAGCUAACGUGUUGUGUGUAAAAGCCUGGCAGGGAAAGGUACUUUUUUUAUAUUCAGGAGCCUCUGAGUGGAAAAGUCUGCCUCUGGUCUGUUAAAACUAUUCCUACUCUGAGUAGCUUAAAAAGGAAGGUGAAAUGCUGGUUAAUGGAUAGGGUGCCUCUGUGAGCAAUCCAUCCUAGCCCAAUGAUGAUGUCCAAGUAGCCUUCUUUUGUCUAUAGUGUGUGUAUGUUGUUGUGCUCUCAUAUGACUAAGUAACCAUAUUGACCUGCCAUUUUAGCUUCUGUUUUUUUAUUUAGCCACAUAUGCCAUAUUUGACAAAUGCUAUCUUGAAGGAGGACCACAAUUGAAAUAGGUUGUAGACUUUUUUGUGUUUAUCUUCAACGAUUCUUAAUCAUGUGCAUCAAUUUGAACAUGUACUUUGUUUUUAAAUAUCCAAUUUAAAUAAUAAUAAAAAAGAACAGCAAUGCCUCAAGAUUAGCAUUGAAUGUAACUUAUGAAUAUUAUGAUUUUUAAAAGGAAUGUAUGUAAUAUCAAGAUGUAUCGUUGAUAUUACAUAUAUUUGAUUUAAAUCAUGUCCCUUGCAUUUAAAGUCAGUGUUUGUGUUUUUCACCAAGCGAUGAGCCAGCCCCAGUAGUGUGGAAAUAAAGAUAUCUAUGUUGA